RNAcentral lists this transfer RNA (72 nucleotides) under Camelus bactrianus (Bactrian camel). It matches the Rfam family "tRNA". From Rfam's summary of the family: Transfer RNA (tRNA) molecules are approximately 80 nucleotides in length. Lineage: Eukaryota; Metazoa; Chordata; Mammalia; Artiodactyla; Camelidae. RNAcentral also lists the same sequence under 1 other name. The record is from Rfam by way of RNAcentral.
GGUGAUAUAACUCAGCGAUAAAGUGCAUACUUAUCAUGCAUGAGGUCCUGAGUUUAAUCCCCAGUACCUCCG